UACGUAGGGUGCGAGCGUUAUUCGGAAUUACUGGGCGUAAAGUGUGCGCAGGCGGCUUGGCACGUCGAGUGUGAAAUCCCCGAGCUUAACUUGGGAAUUGCGCUCGAAACUACGGAGCUGGAGUGUGGCAGAGGAAGGUGGAAUUCCACGUGUAGCGGUGAAAUGCGUAGAGAUGUGGAGGAACACCGAUGGCGAAGGCAGCCUUCUGGGCCAACACUGACGCUCAUGCACGAAAGCGUGGGGAGCAAACAGG
RNAcentral lists this ribosomal RNA (253 nucleotides) under uncultured bacterium. RNAcentral's name for it is "partial 16S ribosomal RNA". It matches the Rfam family "Bacterial small subunit ribosomal RNA", at positions 524 to 776 of the family's 1533-position model. The record is from RNAcentral.